GACGAACGCUGGCGGCGUGCUUAACACAUGCAAGUCGAACGGCAAGGCCCUGCUUUUGUGGGGUGCUCGAUUGGCGAACGGGUGAGUAACACGUGAGUAACCUGCCCUUCACUUUGGUAUAACUUCAGGAAACUGGGGCUAAUACCGGAUAGCAGCUCCUCCUCCAUUGUGGGGGUUGGAAAGUCUCGGCGGUUGGGGUUGGAUGCGCGGCUUAUCGGCUUGUUGGUGGGGUAGUGGCUUACCAAGGCAUUGACGGGUAGCCGGCCUGAGAGGGUGACCGGCAACAUUGGGACUGAGAUACGGCCCAGACUGCUACGGGAGGCAGAAGUGGGGAAUAUUGCACAAUGGGAGGAAGCCUGAUGCAGCGACGCCGCGUGCGGGAUGACGGCCUUCGGGUUGUAAACCGCUUUCGGCUGUGACGAAGCGUGAGUGACGGUAAUGGGUAAAGAAGCACCGGCUAACUACGUG
This 468-nucleotide ribosomal RNA is filed under the name uncultured bacterium. RNAcentral describes it as "partial 16S ribosomal RNA". It matches the Rfam family "Bacterial small subunit ribosomal RNA", at positions 28 to 507 of the family's 1533-position model. The record is from RNAcentral.